Molecule: long non-coding RNA, 516 nt
Organism: Cyprinus carpio carpio
Lineage: Eukaryota; Metazoa; Chordata; Actinopteri; Cypriniformes; Cyprinidae
Source: Ensembl
UAUUUAAAAAAUAAAAUAUGUUUAUUAUUUAUUUACUUCUAAAAGUAUUAUUAUUAUUAUUAUUAUUAUUAUUAUUAUUAUUAUUAUUAUUAUUAUAGCAUUACUCAAAAAUGUUUGAAUGGCAUUGUAUUAUAUAAGAAAAUAUCAAAGCAAGUGUAAUUUAUUGUAAAGAAAGAUCUUAGAAAAAAAUAGCAGUUCACAAAAAGACGUCUAUGGUUAAAAACAACAAAAUGUGUUGAAAAUGUUUUUUUUUUUGUUUUGUUUUUUGUGAUUCUGUGAUGUGAUUCUGUGUUGUCCAUGUUUAUUGUGAUGUGAGUGUGAGUGUGUGUCAGGCUGUGCUGUUUUACUAACACUAUUGACUGCAGGUGAUGUUCUGGACAGAGUCCAUCUGACCCCACAGAGCCUUAAAUACAUCACUGUCCAACAGGGACCUCCAGAGACGAUGCCGAGCUUUAUAAAUCUACAUGAAGAGGUUUAAAGUGAACAGUGUUUCCCGAGAUGACAUCAUUUCCUCUG